Long non-coding RNA from Labeo rohita (rohu), 3525 nucleotides. RefSeq lists it as uncharacterized. NCBI's taxonomy places the organism in Eukaryota, Metazoa, Chordata, Actinopteri, Cypriniformes, Cyprinidae. The transcript is spliced from 4 exons. The record is from RefSeq and is a predicted model, not a curated record.
GAAAUUAUUUUCAAAAUAUUAUAUGUGUAAUAUUACAGAAUAUAUGAUAUGUACAAAAUUACCUAAAUUGCUCUUGAAGUAAAAUUACAGCUAGCUUUAAGUGUAUUGGCAUCUUAUUUGUGAAUGAGGUGGAUAAACACUCCUUAAAAAUAUUUUAAAAUCAUAACCCUCAGGCUGUUUCACUGAGAUUUUUCUUGAAACGCCUAUAGGGUAAAUAAUCAGCUAAAUGAGGUAGGUUAUAAAUAUAAUGUUACAAUGCUUGUAGUUCUAAUAAUUUGUUGAACUAUUAUGACAACAGGAUAUUGUGGUCAUUUAUUUAUUUAUUUAUUUAUUUAUUUCUAUAGGUCAGUUUUGAGGUGUUUGCCAAUAAGACAGAGACCAUACAGUACAGUAUUCCACUCAAGUGUGUAUGGAAUAUGAUCCGUAGUGUUUGCUGCUGUGAUUCAUCAGGACAAGGCCUCGAUGCCAUCCACACCUGGUACAUGAAGAUGGAAGAAACAGGAAAACAAAUCUUCUAUUCAGCACAUCCCUGAAAGGCUUCCCUAUAAUGAUUCAAGAUUUCCACCAUUGUAUUUAUCCACAUAAGGGUUUCUGGGAUCCCCAGUUGAAGACAUCAGGACAUCAGACGUCGGUCUGGACAGAUGGAUGGCUAAGAUGACGACUUGCAUGGAUGGCUGACUACUAUAAUGUUCUAUGAAGGUAUUAUUAUAGCAAAACUGAGCACCUGUGACAGUGGUAUUUGUAUUGUAAAGAAUAAUCACACAUGCAUAUCAGUAAAUCUAAAUUGUUUUAGGUGUUGCAAAUGUUCUCUCUUUCUCUCUCUGUGUGUCUCUCUCACACACACACACACACACACACACAACAGUUACAUCUUUUCAAAUUCUUUAUUGGAUGUGCACAAAACCUAUUCUACAAAUCAGAAAUUAGAAAGCUCAAAUGUUCAUAUUUAGUCUACGGUUGCUACAGUGAAUGUGGCACAACCAGUGUUGGGGGUAACACAUUACUAGGUACAUAAUAACUUGAGUUAUGUAAUCAGAUUACUUUUUUUCAAGUAACUAGUAAGGUAACAUUUUUCAAAUUAGUAACACAAGUAACUUUGUUUUCCCAUUUAUUCGUGACAUCUUUCCUGUCCCCAUGUUGAGAGAAAUUAGGAGGGAGAUGCAGAGGAACUUCCUUCAGCCUGAGGCAGACAAAAAAGUAACACAAUACUUUUUUGUCUGCCUCAAAACACAAUAUUGUAAUGCAUUAGAUUAAAAGUAACUAAAUAUGGUUUCAGCAAGAAAUGUACAAUAACUAAAUAUUUAUUUAUGAAUUCUACUAUUUAACAUUUCAAUAUUCUAGGUUGCAUUAGAGAGAUAUAAUUAAUUUUUAUGGAUGUUUCAUUACAAACUUCAGAGGUUUUUCUUUAUUCUGAGGUACUGAGUUGUACCUGUCCAUGAUCAUAUUUACAAUAUCACAUUUAAUACAAAUGCAGUCUGUUAAUAUGUUCAAUUCUAAUAAUAUAAUAUAAUAUAAUAUAAUAUAAUAUAAUAUAAUAUAAUAGCAUUUAAAAUUUAGUUAUGUUUUGUUAUUUAUUUAUUUAUUUAUUCAAUUUCAAAGCUUUUAUGUGUGGGCCAGAUGGACUAAGCUUUUUUUCUUUAAUACUCAUGGAGAAUAGCUGAACGGGUUAGAUGAUUUACAAAAUCAUACACAAAGAAAUGUGAAUGAUUGCAACAUUUUACUGAUCUCUACAAAAUUCUGAGCUUACAAAUUCUAGAAUAGGAUUUGUGCACUUAUAAAGAAUAUGUUGAGAAGGUAUAACUGUUGUGAUGUUACGGGUACUCAGUUUUGCUACAAUAAUACCAGAUAAAAUAUGUACUGUAUACAACAAAGCAGUGUUGGGGAGUAACUAGUUACAUGGAGGUAUGUAAUUUAAUUACAAAUUUAGGACACAGAAUAGGACACAUGCAUAUUCAAUAAAUGUUUUAUUUCCCAAUUCGGUUUAUAUACUUGAUUUUUUUUUUUUUUUUUUUUUUUUUUAAGAUUUUUAAAGUUUUUUUUCCAAGGCAUCAUUAGAUCCAAAGCUAUGCAAAGAUUUUAAUUUCAAAAACAGCAUCAUGACUAUUAAACUAUUUAUUGUCAUUAUGUAAUCUUUAUUUGACCUCAGAAUGAUACUAAGGUAAAAGAGGUGCAAAAUGAUUAACAGUUGAAAACGUUAGAAACUACAGUAGAAUCUAGAGUUACUUUAGAGUAAUCUAUAAUCUGUAACCGAUUACAUUUCCAAAGUAUCCUGCCCAACACUGCAACAAAGGGACAAAAAAGUGAAUAUUCAGGGAUGCAAACUUGUCACCUUUAAGUGAAAAUCGCUGUUCUAAUUCCAAAAUAGAAAAAUCAGUGUGAUUUGUGUAGAUUGAAAUGAGUUUUUAAAAUUGUGAGUAAGUGAGUAGUAAGUAAUGGAUCUGCAAUCGUUUGCAGAGCUCCUGCGCAUAUAUUUGUGUGCACGCUCUGAUUUGUUUACAGCGUGUUUUGCAGCAUUGACUUGGCUACUGUAACAUCAUGUCAUAGAAAAUAUUUGUUAAUCAGAGGUGUUUCAGUUGAUUAGAAAACACGCAAUAUUACUGGUUUCUACAUGCUUGCAAAUCCUUUCAUAACAAAGCGUAGACACGAUGUAAAUAAGAGAUUCAUUGUGUAUUAUCAGAUUUAUUUAUUAUUACAGGAGUUUCACAGAAUGAGCUCACUUCCUAAAUUGCUAUGAUUGACAUUAGUUUUGCAGUGUAAAUUCAGACUAAUAGACCCGCAAUAGCAAAUAAGAAAACUAAUCAUUUAGUUUUUAGCGUCAACAUUUACAUAAAGUACUUUUCCAUAUGUCCAUUUUAAUCUUCUAAAAUAUAUGUAAUAUUCCCAAGCUUUGAGAAAAGUAAUCUUUAAAUGUUAUAAUCGUGAUUUUAUAAGGUAUAGUUAUUAUACAUCUGAAAACAAAACAUGUAGAGAUUUUGCCAUCCACUGGCUAUAGUGGUAAUUUCAGGUAAUUUUCAUUCAAGCGUUUGUUUUCCACCAAAUCCUCAACUAAAUAGCACAUGGCAAAUUGAUGAGUAAAUAUAAGAAAUGUAAAUGUUACAUUUUAUUUCCAUUUUAUAUAAAAAUUUACAACAUAAGCAAAAUAACUGAGGCAAAUAAAUAAAAACAUCCUUCCAAACGGCAUACCUUUAGAGGAAAUGUAAUAUUGGAGUGAUAUUACAAUUAUUAAAGUAAUUAAAAUUUAAUUUUGUAGUCUAUGGCUAUUUGAAAUUGUGGUUUACACCUUUUUUCACUUUCGCCUGAUUUGUUCACAUCCCUGAAAAUACAAAGAUUAUUUUAAUUUUUACGGUGACCUGAGGGGACAUGUUCGGUUCACUUAAUUUUGUCGUGGCCACAACAUAUUAACUCAUACUGUGUCAUACUAUGUCGUGGCCACGAGAUCAUUUUGUCGAGAUAACGACAUCCUUAUGUGGUGGCCUCGAGAUGCUGUGUUGAGGGAACGACAUUUUUCUCGUGGGCACGAGUUUA